CUCGAAGAACCUUACGUGGCAAUUACAAUGAGAGAACCCUACAGAGAAGGAUUGGUGCAUUGGGGAAAUAGAACACUGGUGCUGCGUGGGAGUCGUCAGCUCGUGUCGUGAGAUGUAAGGUUAAGUACCGUAAGGAGCGCAAACCUAGUCCUGAGUUACCAGUAAGUACAGGUGGGAACUUUAAGGAGACCGCCGGUGACAAACCGGAGGAAGGUGGGGAAGACGUCAAGUCAUCAUGACCUUAACGACCAGGGAUACACAAGUAUUACAAUGGUAGGGACAGAGGGCUGCAAGCCGGUGACGGUAAGCCAAUCUCCAGAAACCGUAUAUCAGUCGGGAGUUGGAGUCGGUAACUCGAUUUCAUGAAGUCGGAGUAGGUAGUAAUAGCAGAUGAGCAUGGAUGCGGAGAAUAGGUUACCAGGGCGUUGUCCUUUUAAGGGGCACACCAUGGGAGUGUGUGCACCAGAAGCAGGUAUUGUUAACUUCGGAGGGCGGGCCUCGCGUCUUGCUGU
RNAcentral lists this ribosomal RNA (512 nucleotides) under Stenotrophomonas maltophilia. Its description in RNAcentral is "bacterial SSU rRNA". The stretch from base 1 to 426 matches the Rfam family "Bacterial small subunit ribosomal RNA", at positions 960 to 1382 of the family's 1533-position model. Lineage: Bacteria; Pseudomonadati; Pseudomonadota; Gammaproteobacteria; Lysobacterales; Lysobacteraceae. The record is from RNAcentral.